RNAcentral lists this transfer RNA (72 nucleotides) under Picocystis salinarum. RNAcentral describes it as "tRNA-Ile". It matches the Rfam family "tRNA". From Rfam's summary of the family: Transfer RNA (tRNA) molecules are approximately 80 nucleotides in length. Their secondary structure includes four short double-helical elements and three loops (D, anti-codon, and T loops). Lineage: Eukaryota; Viridiplantae; Chlorophyta; Picocystophyceae; Picocystales; Picocystaceae. The record is from RNAcentral.
GGGCGCAUAGCUCAGGGGUAGAGCGCACGCCUGAUAAGCGUGAGGGCGGUAGUUCAACUCUACCUGGGCCCA